This is an RNA transcript of Andrographis paniculata, 1438 nucleotides long. RefSeq lists it as uncharacterized. NCBI's taxonomy places the organism in Eukaryota, Viridiplantae, Streptophyta, Magnoliopsida, Lamiales, Acanthaceae. The record is from RefSeq and is a predicted model, not a curated record. The transcript is spliced from 3 exons.
CUUAUCUUCCCAUUCUACUUUUUCUCUCCCCGACUGAGAAACCCUAAUCUCCUCACGUAUUCUCCCGAUUUGUGCUUUGGUCAUCUUAGAUCGAUGUCUUUGGUCCACCAAUCGCAGACGCUUUCUCCCCCGAUCUCAUAGCACCCCUUCCCUAAGUUGGGAUCCUCUGCUCGCUGCCCGAUCUGUGGCUCUUUUUAUGGUAAGAUCUCUAAAUCAACUAAUGAGCUCUUCCCCGUCGACCCAGCUUCUAGCGACGGUAUUUUCCGUCGAUUUACUGGAGAAAAGGUUGGUGCGAGUGAGGGUUUCUCAUUUUGGGUACCAGACAGUGAAUCUCCGUUCAAUUUAGGGUUGGAUAUCGAUGUCGCACCUCUGGGGCGGGAGAAGGCGCCUGCAACUUCUCUCCGGCCUCAACCAUCGCCGAAAAAGAUCGGAUUAUUUGAUGGCGGUGCUGGAUCGGUCCCAAAAAUUGGUGAUAUCUGGUUUGAACUUGGGAAUUGCCCAAACUCCGACGACGAUCGCGAUUCCGAGCCUACCUUGUCCCUAUUCCGGCGUUCUCAACAAAUACGUCCCUGUCGUGGAUGUCGCCUUCCAAUAUUGGGAAACGGUCCGGACCGAGCAACCGAAUAGCGUGGCAGCUUCUGUAAUUUUUCCUUUUGAUGGCUCCCCACUCUCAUCGCAUGAGAGGAGUAUAAAUUGAACCAUCCGGUUCAAUUCCGAAUGUUGUAGCAGACAUGGUAUAUGGGACGGAGGAAGUAUCAAUUUAGUGAAGUGCUAUGUGUUCUUCUUGCUAAAUUUUUUGUAUGACUGCCUAGAUUCUGGCCAACGGCAGCAACAACAAGUGUGCCAAGAAAGUAUGACUGGACUAUUUCAAAACUCUUAAUCAGAAUCCCAAUUAAGAGUCAUAGCCCACUUGUGCAGCACUUCACAAAAUAAUCAAUUUUCCAUAUUAUUCUCAUAUGUAGCAUGAUUGCAUAUUCUACUUUAUUCCUUUCGAACGAAUAUAUAUAUAUAUAUACAAAUGUAUAUACAUAUACAUGGAUGAAAACAAUAACAUAGAAACAAAUUAACACAAAAUACACAUAGAUUUCAAAGGAAACUUCCAUAUGUAUCUACCAAAGGGAUUCAUCAGUUGCAGAUAUUCAUAUUUGUGUUUGCUAUUUUACUGUCCUUUAAUGUACUGUUGUGACCGUUCCAGUUCUCUAUCAUUUAACUAUUUAAUAUUGUAAAUGAAAAAAUCAUUUGUUAUUUUUUGGCAUAUGGACAAAUAUGUUUUUCAUUUCCCUGCAGCAAGUUUUCCUUUUCAAGUAAUUUGAUGUUGCAGUAAGGUUGUCACUGCAACCAUGUUGCAGUCUGAAUUUAUGGGCUUGGCAUUAUUCAUUGUGUCCAAUCUCUUAAAUGCCCACAAGAGUCAAACAUGACAGUUUGGGAAUGGUCAAAC